RNAcentral lists this ribosomal RNA (196 nucleotides) under uncultured bacterium. RNAcentral describes it as "partial 16S ribosomal RNA". It matches the Rfam family "Bacterial small subunit ribosomal RNA", at positions 336 to 525 of the family's 1533-position model. The record is from RNAcentral.
CUCCUACGGGAGGCAGCANNGGGGAAUUUUGGACAAUGGGCGAAAGCCUGAUCCAGCAAUGCCGCGUGUGUGAAGAAGGCCUUCGGGUUGUAAAGCACUUUUGUCCGGAAAGAAAUGGCUCUGGUUAAUACCUGGGGUCGAUGACGGUACCGGAAGAAUAAGGACCGGCUAACUCGUGCCACCAGCCGCGGUAAUA